GACGAACGCUGGCGGCGUGCUUAACACAUGCAAGUCGAACGGAAAGGCCCCUUUUGGGGUACUCGUGUUGCGGACGGGUGAGUAACAAGUGAGUAACCUGCCCUUGUCUUAGGCUUGACUUCAGGCAACUAGGGCUAAUACCGGAUAGGAAUUGUUUUUGCACGGUGGGUGUUGGAAAGCUUGGGCGGUUUUGGAUGGACUCGCGGCUUAUCAGCUUGUUGGUGGGGUAGUGGCUUACCAAGGCUUUGACGGGUAGCCGGCCUGAGAGGGCGACCGGCCACAUUGGGACUGAGAUACGGCCCAGACUCCUACGGGAGGCAGCAGUGGGGAAUAUUGCACAAUGGGCGGAAGCCUGAUGCAGCAACGCCGCGUGCGGGAUGACGGCCUUCGGGUUGUAAACCGCUUUCAGCAGGGGCGAAGCUUGUGGUGACGGUACCUGCAGAAGAAGCACCGGCUAACUACGUG
RNAcentral lists this ribosomal RNA (465 nucleotides) under uncultured bacterium. RNAcentral describes it as "partial 16S ribosomal RNA". It matches the Rfam family "Bacterial small subunit ribosomal RNA", at positions 28 to 507 of the family's 1533-position model. The record is from RNAcentral.